RNAcentral lists this ribosomal RNA (406 nucleotides) under uncultured bacterium. RNAcentral describes it as "partial 16S ribosomal RNA". It matches the Rfam family "Bacterial small subunit ribosomal RNA", at positions 30 to 526 of the family's 1533-position model. The record is from RNAcentral.
AUUGAACGCUGGCGGCAGGCCUAACACAUGCAAGUCGAACGAGUGGCGGACGGGUGAGUAAUGUCUGGGAAACUGCCUGAUGGAGGGGGAUAACUACUGGAAACGGUAGCUAAUACCGCAUACCAUUGGAUGUGCCCAGAUGGGAUUAGCUAGUAGGUGGGGUAAAGGCUCACCUAGGCGACGAGCCAUAGCUGGUCUGAGAGGAUGACCGGCCAGACUGGAACUGAGACACGGUCCAGACUCCUACGGUAGGCAGCAGUGGGGAAUCUUGCACAAUGGGCGCAAGCCUGAUGCAGCCAUGCCGCGUGUAUGAAGAAGGCCUUCGGGUUGUAAAGUACUUUCAGCGGGGAGGCGUUACCCGCAGAAGAAGCAACGGCUAACUCCGUGCCAGCCGCCGCGGUAAUAC